Molecule: long non-coding RNA, 264 nt
Filed under: Junco hyemalis (dark-eyed junco)
Lineage: Eukaryota; Metazoa; Chordata; Aves; Passeriformes; Passerellidae
Description: lncRNA (ENSJHYG00000012893.1)
Source: RNAcentral
CGGAUUCCAGAUAAAACAAAUGGCCAGUUUUAGCCUAAUCAUCACUUCUGCCUGAGGAAAGAGAAACUCUUUGAGGUUUAUCUCUAAUUCUGUGGAAUUGAUUGAAAUUAUUCCAUUGACUUCAGCAAACUCUCUUUCCUGCUGGAUCAAAGGCAAUAUUUGUGCAUCAGAUUUGCUGGUGAUGUCUCACUAAUGAAGCAGGUAAUUUUAUAAACAAGUCAGGGAGGGUAAGUGCCCAAUAAAAAGAUGUCAGACAGAGAUGCA